GAAUUUUUGGUUUAAUAGUACAGAGUAUCUGCGGUUACAUUUACUGUUCCGUUGAUUAGGGUUUUGGUUUUAAUUCCUUAGAAACUUCCAUUGGCGGUUUAAGAUUUGUGCCACAACUCAUAAGCAUGUUCUUUUAGCUGUCACGUUGGCAAUGCAAUUUUUCCUUUAAAUUCAAUUUAUUUAGUACAAUAUUUAGUUUAUCUGUUUACUUUUGGUAGAUCAAAUCGACUUUUUAGAUGGGCUUGAACACAUUAUUUGCUAAAUAAUGGUUUCAUGUGAGUGGGUUAACAUGAAAGAAAGCCUUGAACACAAACCUUCUGUUUUAUGCCAAUAAAUCAAAACUUGAAAGACUAGGUAUCAUCUCUACCUGUUUAACCUAACGAUGUGGAUAAGUAUAUUUUACAGAUGGAUAAUUUUAUUGCAUUAAUUAUGAAUUGUAUAAAAUCCACAACAUGAGCAUUCAAACUCAUAAGUUAUCCUAUGGAAGUGGAACAAAGAUAAAUAUGCAGAAAUGAAAUGAUGGGUUGGAUAAGGCAUGAAUGCAUUUGUAUGAAGGUGGAAAUAGCACCCAGUGAGGAAAAUUUGAGAGAUGAAAGAUUGAGAUGCUUUGUAUAUAUGCAUUGUAUAUUAGUGAUAUAACCAGUAUCAGUAUGAAAGGUUGGACAUAUUGAAAUUGCAGGAGAAAAAAUUGAGAGGGAGAUUUUGCAUAUGGUGGUCAAUAAUCCGAUCCUAGAUCUAAUGUAGAAGAAGAUAGAGACUAGUUACAUUGUGUUCUGACUAGUUGUAGCAGUGAAAAUGUUGAAUGAAAUCAAUGAAUCUUUCAAGAAGGAAAAUGUAUAUGUAAUGCUAUAAAUCAGCUUAUUAAAUUGAUAUUGAAGUCUUAAUUACAAGUUGGUAUUAUUACUAGCUUUUUAUUUAGAAAGGUCAAGCACUAUCAAAAUUUGGAUGUGACUGUAUUUCAUUUGGGAUUCUGGUUUGGUUAUAAAAGUUCUCUUUAAAUUGUAGCUGCCAAUGAGGAAUAUUUUUUCCUGAAUCCUGACAAGCUUUGAACUGCUUAAACUGCACAGGUCAAGAAUCCGUUUGAAGAAAAUGAAAUAGUUGGAAUUACAAAUUAUAUUGACUUUGGGUUUGAGUUGCAGACAAGGGUUGAUGAUGCCAAUACAUCAAAGAAUAUCCCAGAAUCCACCUUUCAAGUUGCUGCAUCCUGGCAGGCCAAUAAAAAUUUCUUAUUGAAGGUAUGUAUAUUCCAUUUGGUUCUUCGAGCACUUGACCUUUGUUGGUUUGUCUCUAUCUCUAUUAUCUUUAACCUUACCAAUUUGGUGCGAUUUUUCUUACAUCAUCAGGUGUCAAAUUGGAUUUGAAGUUGCUAUCUUUAGCAAUAGAUCUAUUUUAUUAAAUACUCAGGAGAAUUUUAAGCUGAAGGCAAGUAUAUAUCAGCUUAGGUUGGGUUGAAACUGAGUGAGUCUGUCUCAUUCUCUUUUGGUCACUAUCUCUCGUUAUUUUGUCCCUUGCUUUCAGUAUCACACAGAAAUACUUUGAUUGGCAAGAGGUGACUCCACUAGUAAAGGAAGCUUGGAGGCGUAAGGCUGCAGAGCGCUAUAAGGCCCUAAUGUGCAAUGUCAGGAAAGGAAAAUCCAAGGUCAUCGUGCCUAAUAGUACAAUGCAAAAAUGGAAGGAGGCAUGGAGUAGCCCAGAGUUUAAAGCCAAGAGCCAUCAAUUCA
This is a long non-coding RNA of Hevea brasiliensis (rubber tree), 1721 nucleotides long. RefSeq lists it as uncharacterized. The record is from RefSeq and is a predicted model, not a curated record. Lineage: Eukaryota; Viridiplantae; Streptophyta; Magnoliopsida; Malpighiales; Euphorbiaceae. The transcript is spliced from 5 exons.